Molecule: small nuclear RNA, 18 nt
Filed under: Arabidopsis thaliana (thale cress)
Lineage: Eukaryota; Viridiplantae; Streptophyta; Magnoliopsida; Brassicales; Brassicaceae
Description: snRNA_06588
Source: RNAcentral
UGCAGCAGCACGCUCCGU